ACGGGGGCCCGCACAAGCGGCGGAGCAUGCGGAUUAAUUCGAUGCAACGCGAAGAACCUUACCAAGGCUUGACAUACACCGGUAACGCCCAGAGAUGGGUGCCCCUUUGUGGUCGGUGUACAGGUGGUGCAUGGUUGUCGUCAGCUCGUGUCGUGAGAUGUUGGGUUAAGUCCCGCAACGAGCGCAACCCUCGUCCUAUGUUGCCAGCGGGUCAUGCCGGGGACUCAUGGGAGACUGCCGGGGUCAACUCGGAGGAAGGUGGGGAUGACGUCAAAUCAUCAUGCCCCUUAUGUCUUGGGCUUCACGCAUGCUACAAUGGCCGGUACAAAGGGCUGCGAUACCGCGAGGUGGAGCGAAUCCCAGAAAGCCGGUCUCAGUUCGGAUUGGGGUCUGCAACUCGACCCCAUGAAGUCGGAGUCGCUAGUAAUCGCAGAUCAGCAACGCUGCGGUGAAUACGUUCCCGGGCCUU
This 469-nucleotide ribosomal RNA is filed under the name uncultured Curtobacterium sp. Its description in RNAcentral is "bacterial SSU rRNA". It matches the Rfam family "Bacterial small subunit ribosomal RNA", at positions 913 to 1382 of the family's 1533-position model. The record is from RNAcentral. Lineage: Bacteria; Bacillati; Actinomycetota; Actinomycetes; Micrococcales; Microbacteriaceae.